UACGUAGGUGGCGAGCGUUGUCCGGAUUUAUUGGGCUUAAAGGGUGCGUAGGCGGUCUUAUAAGUCAGUGCUGAAAUAUCCCGGCUUAAGCGGGAGGGUGGCAUUGAUACUGUAAGACUUGAGUAAAGUUGAGGUGGGCGGAAUUGACGGUGUAGCGGUGAAAUGCUUAGAUAUCGUCAAGAACACCGAUUGCGAAGGCAGCUCACUAAGCUUUAACUGACGCUGAGGCACGAAAGUGUGGGGAUCAAACAGG
RNAcentral lists this ribosomal RNA (253 nucleotides) under uncultured bacterium. Its description in RNAcentral is "partial 16S ribosomal RNA". It matches the Rfam family "Bacterial small subunit ribosomal RNA", at positions 524 to 776 of the family's 1533-position model. The record is from RNAcentral.